RNAcentral lists this ribosomal RNA (438 nucleotides) under uncultured bacterium. RNAcentral's name for it is "bacterial SSU rRNA". It matches the Rfam family "Bacterial small subunit ribosomal RNA", at positions 355 to 786 of the family's 1533-position model. The record is from RNAcentral.
UGAGGAAUAUUGGUCAAUGGGCGGAAGCCUGAACCAGCCAAGUCGCGUGAGGGAUGAAUGGUCUAUGGCCUGUAAACCUCUUUUGAAAGGGAAGAAUAAGUGGCACGUGUGCCAUGAUGCCAGUACCUUUCGAAUAAGCAUCGGCUAACUCCGUGCCAGCAGCCGCGGUAACACGGGGGAUGCGAGCGUUGUCCGGAUUUAUUGGGUUUAAAGGGUGCGUAGGCGGCAUGGUAAGUCAGCGGUCAAAUCGAGGGGCUCAAACCCCUUUCCGUCCGUUGAAACAUGCCGUGCUUGAGUGGGCGAGAAGUACGCGGAAUGCGUGGUGUAGCGGUGAAAAUGCAUAGAUAUCACGCAGAACUCCGAUUGCGAAGGCAGCUUACUAAACCAUAACUGACACUGAAGCACGAAAAGCGUGGGGAUCAAACAGGAUUAGAUACC